GAUGAAGAACGUAGUGAAAUGCGAUACGUAAUGUGAAUUGCAGAAUUCAGUGAAUCAUCGAAUCUUUGAACGCAUAUUGCGCUCUCUGGUAUUCCGGAGAGCAUGCUUGUUUGAGUAUCAGUAAACACCUCAACUUCCAUAUCUUUUUUGAAAUGGGAGUUGGACUUGAGUGAUCCCAACGCUUUUCCUCACCGAAAAGUGGCGGGUUACUUGAAAUGCAGGUGCAGCUGGACUUUUCUCUGAGCUAUAAGCAUAUCUAUUUAGUCUGCCUAAAAAACAGAUUAUUACCUUUGCUGCAGCUAACAUAAAGGAGAUUAGUUCUUGCUGACUGAUGCAGGAUUCACAAAGACAGGCUUCGGCCGACUUUGUAAACUCGAUCUCAAAUCAAGUAAGACUACCCGCUGAACUUAAGCAUAUCAAUAAGCGGAGGA
Molecule: unclassified non-coding RNA, 431 nt
Filed under: soil metagenome
Description: partial contains 5.8S ribosomal RNA, internal transcribed spacer 2, and large subunit ribosomal RNA
Rfam family: 5.8S ribosomal RNA (bases 1-120)
Source: RNAcentral